UAAAAACCCAAACUCACAGGUGCCCCUGGGGAGAAUAGGGAAUCAGGUGCAAGUCCUGAACGGUCCCACCACUGUAAACGGGUAGUUGAACACCGGUAUAUACCACUGGCCCUCGGCUGGGAAGGUAGGUGUCGUCAGCCAUGAUCCGUGAGUCAGGAGACCUGCCUGUGGAGUUUUCAUCUG
RNAcentral lists this non-coding RNA (183 nucleotides) under Desulforamulus ferrireducens. Lineage: Bacteria; Bacillati; Bacillota; Clostridia; Eubacteriales; Peptococcaceae. The record is from RNAcentral.